This 497-nucleotide ribosomal RNA is filed under the name uncultured bacterium. RNAcentral describes it as "partial 16S ribosomal RNA". It matches the Rfam family "Bacterial small subunit ribosomal RNA", at positions 28 to 507 of the family's 1533-position model. The record is from RNAcentral.
GAUGAACGCUGGCGGCGUGCCUAAUACAUGCAAGUCGAGCGAACAGACGAGGAGCUUGCUCCUCUGACGUUAGCGGCGGACGGGUGAGUAACACGUGGAUAACCUACCUAUAAGACUGGGAUAACUUCGGGAAACCGGAGCUAAUACCGGAUAAUAUAUUGAACCGCAUGGUUCAAUAGUGAAAGACGGUUUUGCUGUCACUUAUAGGUGGAUCCGCGCCGCAUUAGCUAGUUGGUAAGGUAACGGCUUACCAAGGCGACGAUGCGUAGCCGACCUGAGAGGGUGAUCGGCCACACUGGAACUGAGACACGGUCCAGACUCCUACGGGAGGCAGCAGUAGGGAAUCUUACGCAAUGGGCGAAAGCCUGACGGAGCAACGCCGCGUGAGUGAUGAAGGUCUUCGGAUCGUAAAACUCUGUUAUUAGGGAAGAACAAAUGUGUAAGUAACUAUGCACGUCUUGACGGUACCUAAUCAGAAAGCCACGGCUAACUACGUG